Molecule: ribosomal RNA, 385 nt
Filed under: Rhizobium sp. UR49
Lineage: Bacteria; Pseudomonadati; Pseudomonadota; Alphaproteobacteria; Hyphomicrobiales; Rhizobiaceae
Description: bacterial SSU rRNA
Rfam family: Bacterial small subunit ribosomal RNA
Source: RNAcentral
CCUUACCAGCCCUUGACAUGUCCGGCUCACCACAGAGAUGUGGUUUUCCCUUCGGGGACCGGAACACAGGUGCUGCAUGGCUGUCGUCAGCUCGUGUCGUGAGAUGUUGGGUUAAGUCCCGCAACGAGCGCAACCCUCGCCCUUAGUUGCCAGCAUUUAGUUGGGCACUCUAAGGGGACUGCCGGUGAUAAGCCGAGAGGAAGGUGGGGAUGACGUCAAGUCCUCAUGGCCCUUACGGGCUGGGCUACACACGUGCUACAAUGGUGGUGACAGUGGGCAGCGAAGGAGCGAUCCCGAGCUAAUCUCCAAAAGCCAUCUCAGUUCGGAUUGCACUCUGCAACUCGAGUGCAUGAAGUUGGAAUCGCUAGUAAUCGCGGAUCAGCAC